This is a non-coding RNA of Gossypium hirsutum (cotton), 144 nucleotides long. The record is from Rfam. NCBI's taxonomy places the organism in Eukaryota, Viridiplantae, Streptophyta, Magnoliopsida, Malvales, Malvaceae.
UAUUAAAAUUUUUAUCCCUUUGUAAUGUUAAAAAUUGAUGUGGUUGGAUGAAUAAUCGAAUAGUGACACAUAACAUACCACAUGUAUCUCAUGCUGAUGUAUAGGAACAGUUUUUAACAGUAGAAAUGAAAAGAAAUUUUAACA